RNAcentral lists this unclassified non-coding RNA (211 nucleotides) under plant metagenome. RNAcentral describes it as "partial contains small subunit ribosomal RNA, internal transcribed spacer 1, and 5.8S ribosomal RNA". The record is from RNAcentral.
UUUCCGUAGGUGAACCUGCGGAAGGAUCAUUCAUAAUAAAGUGUUUUAUGGCACUUUUUAAAAAUCCAUAUCCACCUUGUGUGCAAUGUUAGAUCUCGUCAAUCUUGGCGAGAUUUUUAUACAUCAACUCAUUCUUUAACUAAUUUGUCUGAAAAAUAUUACGAAUACUUAAUUCAAAAUACAACUUUCAACAACGGAUCUCUUGGCUCUC